This 253-nucleotide ribosomal RNA is filed under the name uncultured bacterium. Its description in RNAcentral is "partial 16S ribosomal RNA". It matches the Rfam family "Bacterial small subunit ribosomal RNA", at positions 524 to 776 of the family's 1533-position model. The record is from RNAcentral.
UACGAGGGGGGCCAAUGUUGUUCGGAAUCACUGGGCGUAAAGGGAGCGUAGGCGGGUUUUUAAGUCAGGUGUUUAAUCCCGGGGCCCAACCCCGGACAGGCACUUGAAACUGGGAAUCUUGAAUAGUGGAGAGGUCAGUGGAAUUGGGGGUGUAGCGGUGGAAUGCGUAGAGAUCCCCAAGAACACCCGUUGCGAAGGCGGCUGACUGGACACAUAUUGACGCUGAGGCUCGAAAGCAUGGGGAGCAAACAGG